Anolis carolinensis (green anole) is the source of this 1579-nucleotide long non-coding RNA. RefSeq lists it as uncharacterized. The transcript has 3 exons. The record is from RefSeq and is a predicted model, not a curated record. Lineage: Eukaryota; Metazoa; Chordata; Lepidosauria; Squamata; Anolidae.
GGAAGAUCACUAGGCAUGUAAAUAUCUUGUUGCUAUUUGAUGCUUUCAGCGAACAAAGAUGCAAGUAGACUUCUUUAAAAUAACAUGUUUGUUUUACUCACAACUUCAUGUAUUUAAGUAUACAGGAAAUGUGGAAUAUCAAAGAACAAAGAUUAAGAUUGUUUAAAUGAAGCAAUGGAUUCAUAUCAAAAGAAAACUCAAGCAAUUCUAAGGAUAUUGCCUCUCUUCUUUGGUGACAUCAUAAGAUCUUCGCCAAUUUGAUCCAAUUGGAACCAGCUCCAUAUUCAUACCGCUAGACUGUGGAUUUACUGAGCCCGACAGAACAGAUGUGAGUGCCUGCAGUCUAUCAAGAAGCAGACAGGCAGAGAAGGAGCGCAGUUUGACUUCUAGUACCCAGCUGGAAACUACGAUGUUCAUCAGUCUCUCAAUUUCAAUGUUCACCAGGUGUAUGAAAGAAAUAUCAUUACAUUGUGUCAAUUUCUGCAAUUGUGAGAUGACAAAGAGGGGAGAAAAAGAAGUACCAUUAUGGCCAGUCUGGCAGUUUCUCAGCCCAAGGGAGACGCCUGGAAGUAUCUCCAGGACAAAGCAUGCUGACCCAGGAGAAUUGUCCUAUUGACCAGUCUGCCCUACUGUACUAUUAAAGCUACUUAAAUGAGUUGUUUGGCUGCAUGUGCUGAGUCAGAAGGGACUGAAUUUUCUGUUGCAAAAAAAGUCUCUUUUGAAAUACUUCCAGGCACAAUAGCUUCAUUUGGCCUUAUGGAUGCCUGGUGAAGACUGAAAUGGCAAAAAUGUGUGAAUCAUUUGAUAUCUUCAUGUCCUUACCACAAAACAUUUUUUUUAAAACAAUGCUAUGUAUUUUGAAAUAGAUAUUUAUUGUAAAUUGUAACCAAAAGUGUGCUAAUUAGAGGUAAGAGGGCCCAUGUUUGAACAUUACAAGGUCUGUUUUACAUGAACUCACUAUUUGUCUACUCUCCCAUACUCCGCAGUCUUUCACAGAUGAAACCUGAGACACAUGUAGGUCAAGCAAUAUCACAAUGUAGUCAAGAUGGUGAAGGUUACAAAUGAGGAAGAAUACUCAAGCUAGGAGAGGUUGCAGAAGUUUGCAUUUGUCUUUGCCUACUGGGAAGGGCAGGAUUCAACCCCUUUCUCUCCUCUCCUCCUCUGCUGUACUAAUUGGGUUCAACCUACUGCAUUACUUUGCAUUUAGUGUGCAACAACUGAGUUAAAGGGGAAAGUGAAAGAAGGACAGAGCAAAUGGGACAUUUUUGAAGCAGCUGAAAAAGUGAAAAGAGAAAGGAUUAUUGGGACUGUCCCUGCCAAAUCAGAACAAUUGGAGUGCUCUAUAUUGCUUUUCCAUCAGAAUAAACAAUAUUGCCAAUGAAAGCAAGAAGAAGGAUCAUCACCAGAUCUUAAAUGAGUUAGUUUUUGGACUACUGAGUCCCUUAAUUCCCUGACCAUCCUGUCUGUACGAUUCUGGGAGUUAUAGUUUUUUAAAAGGGUACAUUUUCCAAGGUCUGGUUAUUAUUCAGUGAGAGGUCACAUGCUUUUCAUAUUUGUGAAGCCAAACUCUAAUCCUGGU